CAGCCCCUACGGGGGGCAGCAGUGAGGAAUAUUGGUCAAUGGGCGGGAGCCUGAACCAUCCCCGCCGCGUGCGGGAAGAAGGUACAGCGUAUCGUAAACCUCUUUUGUCAGGGAACAAAGGCGGGGACUAGUCCCCGGAUGAGGGUACCUGAAGAAAAAGCAUCGGCUAACUCCGUGCCAGCAGCCGCGGUAAUACGGAGGAUGCGAGCGUUAUCCGGAUUUAUUGGGUUUAAAGGGUGCGCAGGCGGCCUGUCAAGUCAGCGGUAAAAGCCCGGGGCUCAACCCCGGCGAGCCGUUGAAACUGG
This 305-nucleotide ribosomal RNA is filed under the name uncultured bacterium. Its description in RNAcentral is "bacterial SSU rRNA". It matches the Rfam family "Bacterial small subunit ribosomal RNA", at positions 333 to 636 of the family's 1533-position model. The record is from RNAcentral.